AGAACGAACGCUGGCGGCAUGCCUAACACAUGCAAGUCGAACGAACCCUUCGGGGUUAGUGGCGCACGGGUGCGUAACGCGUGGGAACCUACCAUCAGGUUCGGAAUAACAGUUAGAAAUGACUGCUAAUACCGGAUAAUGUCUUCGGACCAAAGAUUUAUCGCCUUUUGAUGGGCCCGCGUUGGAUUAGCUAGUUGGUAAGGUAAAAGCUUACCAAGGCGACGAUCCAUAGCUGGUCUGAGAGGAUGAUCAGCCACACUGGGACUGAGACACGGCCCAGACUCCUACGGGAGGCAGCAGUGGGGAAUAUUGGACAAGUGGGCGAAAGCCUAGGAUCCAGCAAUGACCGCGUGAGUGAUGAAGGCCGUUAGGGUUGUAAAGCUUACUUUACGUGGGGAUAGGAUAAUGACACGUAACCCUAGAGAAUAAGCCGUACCGG
Molecule: ribosomal RNA, 439 nt
Filed under: uncultured soil bacterium
Lineage: Bacteria
Description: bacterial SSU rRNA
Rfam family: Bacterial small subunit ribosomal RNA
Source: RNAcentral